RNAcentral lists this ribosomal RNA (467 nucleotides) under uncultured bacterium. Its description in RNAcentral is "partial 16S ribosomal RNA". It matches the Rfam family "Bacterial small subunit ribosomal RNA", at positions 28 to 507 of the family's 1533-position model. The record is from RNAcentral.
GACGGACGCUGGCGGCGUGCUUAACACAUGCAAGUCGAACGGAAAGGCCCUGCUUUUGUGGGGUGCUCGAGUGGCGAACGGGUGAGUAACACGUGAGUAACCUGCCCUUGACUUUGGGAUAACUUCAGGAAACUGGGGCUAAUACCGGAUAGGAGCUCCUGCUGCAUGGUGGGGGUUGGAAAGUUUCGGCGGUUGGGGAUGGACUCGCGGCUUAUCAGCUUGUUGGUGGGGUAGUGGCUUACCAAGGCUUUGACGGGUAGCCGGCCUGAGAGGGUGACCGGCCACAUUGGGACUGGGAUACGGCCCAGACUCCUACGGGAGGCAGCAGUGGGGAAUAUUGCACAAUGGGCGGAAGCCUGAUGCAGCAACGCCGCGUGCGGGAUGACGGCCUUCGGGUGGUAAACCGCUUUCGCCUGUGACGAAGCGUGAGUGACGGUAAUGGGUAAAGAAGCACCGGCUAACACGUG